GACGAACGCUGGCGGCGUGCUUAACACAUGCAAGUCGAACGAAGAGCGAUGGAAGCUUGCUUCUCUCAAUCUUAGUGGCGAACGGGUGAGUAACGCGUAAUCAACCUGCCCUUCAGAGGGGGACAACAGUUGGAAACGACUGCUAAUACCGCAUACGAUCUAAUCUCGGCAUCGAGGAUAGAUGAAAGGUGGCCUCUAUGUAUAAGCUAUCACUGAAGGAGGGGAUUGCGUCUGAUUAGCUAGUUGGAGGGGUAACGGCCCACCAAGGCGAUGAUCAGUAGCCGGUCUGAGAGGAUGAACGGCCACAUUGGGACUGAGACACGGCCCAGACUCCUACGGGAGGCAGCAGUGGGGAAUCUUCCGCAAUGGACGAAAGUCUGACGGAGCAACGCCGCGUGAGUGAUGGCGGCCUUCGGGUUGUAAAGCUCUGUUAAUCGGGACGAAAGGCCUUCUUGCGAAUAGGGAGAAGGAUUGACGGUACCGGAAUAGAAAGCCACGGCUAACUACGUG
This 510-nucleotide ribosomal RNA is filed under the name uncultured bacterium. Its description in RNAcentral is "partial 16S ribosomal RNA". It matches the Rfam family "Bacterial small subunit ribosomal RNA", at positions 28 to 507 of the family's 1533-position model. The record is from RNAcentral.